GUGGCAAUGCAGCAAUUUUCAGCAGAUAUAGACCUGUGCUUGUUUAUCUUAAGAGGUGUUAAGAGAGAGGAGAGUGGGAUCUUUUUAGCAAAUAAAUGAAAAUGCUUGAUAUAUUUGAGUGGUAAAGUAGUAUACUUUCUAGUAAAUGGAGAGGAUAUUUUUGAUUAUGGGCUUCUGGGUAUCGAUAGAUCUCCAUGAAGGAUCAAAAAAAGAGGGUAGCACCUCGAUUGAAGAGAAUACCAGGUGUGGCAUCUUAUGAGAUUUGCAGGUACCAGUAGCCAGUCACCACCACCCGGCACUAAUCAAAUGUCAAGUAAAUGGAAUACUCCCUUUGUUUUAAUUCUAGAGCACAGUU
Molecule: unclassified non-coding RNA, 355 nt
Filed under: Hevea brasiliensis (rubber tree)
Lineage: Eukaryota; Viridiplantae; Streptophyta; Magnoliopsida; Malpighiales; Euphorbiaceae
Source: RNAcentral